GCGCCGAUGGUCCAAUGGUAGGACAUUAGCUUCCCAAGCUAAUAGUCCGGGUUCAAUUCCCGGUCGGCGCA
Halogeometricum pallidum JCM 14848 is the source of this 71-nucleotide non-coding RNA. Lineage: Archaea; Methanobacteriati; Methanobacteriota; Halobacteria; Halobacteriales; Haloferacaceae. The record is from Rfam.